CACAAUGGGGGCAGUAGAAUCAAAGUUAAGGAAAUUGUGUUCUUAAUUUUUGAAUUCAAUUUCCAAAAUGAAGACACUAUGUCCGGAAUAUUGAAUUAUCAUAGGAGGCGAUGUACUAAACUUUAUCAAUCCAGUAAUUCAAAGUUAAGGGCUAAUUCUUAUCUACUGUAUAAUCAAAUCAACAAAAAUCUAAAAAAGUAUAACUAUAGCGAAAUAAAAAUCUAUAGAAACACAAUAAAGUAGAACAUACUGUUUAUCUAUGUCUUUUUUUUGGAUUAGAGUGCUGAAUUUUUGAAAUCGGAAGAGAAAUGGUUGCUCGCCUCAGUUGAUCGUCGUUUCUGCUGCUGCUAUUGUUCGCUUUU
Molecule: long non-coding RNA, 362 nt
Filed under: Nicotiana benthamiana
Lineage: Eukaryota; Viridiplantae; Streptophyta; Magnoliopsida; Solanales; Solanaceae
Description: long non-coding RNA (NBEN_LNC026428)
Source: RNAcentral